This 73-nucleotide transfer RNA is filed under the name Canis lupus familiaris (dog). It matches the Rfam family "tRNA". From Rfam's summary of the family: Transfer RNA (tRNA) molecules are approximately 80 nucleotides in length. Their secondary structure includes four short double-helical elements and three loops (D, anti-codon, and T loops). The record is from Rfam by way of RNAcentral. Lineage: Eukaryota; Metazoa; Chordata; Mammalia; Carnivora; Canidae.
ACCUUGCUGGCUCAGUGGGUAGAGUGUGUGACUCUUGAUCUCAGGGUUGUGAGUUCGAGCCCCACAUUGGGUG